Manis javanica (Malayan pangolin) is the source of this 242-nucleotide long non-coding RNA. RefSeq lists it as uncharacterized. Lineage: Eukaryota; Metazoa; Chordata; Mammalia; Pholidota; Manidae. The record is from RefSeq and is a predicted model, not a curated record.
CGAGCUGCCAGUGAGGGAGAUGGAGAGUUUCAGAACUGGUUCCCACUAGCCCCUGACCAGUUGGGCUGAGGCUAACUGGAAACCCAGUUUCAGGACAGUUAUAGAGAUAAGGCGUGACUGGACAAAUGAUUCACUGUUCACAGGAAAUUGUCAUUGCUGUAUUUCAGGACUCUUAAGAUGCCAUAUAGUUUAAGAUAUAUCAUUUGUUUAUGUGCUAUUAACAAUAACAAAAAUAACCCAAC